UUUGUGGUUCUACAAAUGGCACAAGACUCAAUACUCAUCCAGACAGGUGUACAAACACAUCAUGGGGAAUUAUGUUAGCCACUGCAUCUUUAAGUGGUUGUGGAAAUGUGCAAGUAGAAUAAAUCACAAGAUUUAACCCUAAGGCACAAAUCAAUGUCCAAGUGCAUACAUCAGAACACGUGUAAGAACCAAAAUAAGGGAAAUUGAUCGAUCUACUCUUUCUUCACUCACAGAGACAAAAUCAUGAAUAUUUGGUACAAGUUCGAGGUAGAUCGGAGGUAAGAUACCCCGACUUAGCAGUACAGAGUCUAGGGUUCUAAGCUAAGCUAUGAAUUGGGGAAAAUAUCGACUUAUCCCGAGGCUUCUUGAGCUACAGGUUAUAAGGACGGAGAGCCAGCUCAGCGGCUGUUACUGUUGUAACAGUUACAAAACAGUGGUUGCGUUUAGUCUGGUAGGAGACGCGAGGAUUCAUCCGAGCCGUCGAUCUUCUUGCACCUGAGCCGUUGGAUAGCUGAAACUUCUGCUUCUGUCUUCUCUUCAGUAGUACCUUGGUUCUGGUCCUGACAAUGCCGCCGCCAUGACGAGCGCCUUGUCCUCAAGGCGAAACAGCUUGUGUCCUGGGAACGUUUUGUUGAGAAAAGCUGCGUCUUCCCAUGUUGCAUCAUCCGGAGCCAAACUUUCCCAUUGCACUAGGCACUGCCCUACCGGGUUCUUGUUCCUCUGUAUAACACGCCUGUCUAGAACUGCCACUGGGAUUGUUUUAAUGUAGCCCUCCGGAGUGACCAGUGGUACAUGUGGGAGAGGAACUGCUUGAUGGCCAAUAUGCUUCUUUAGUUGACUGAUGUGGAAUACUGGAUGUAUGUUAGAUCCUUCAGGCAACAGAAGUUUAUAAGAUACCUCUCCAAUCUUCUCUAUGAUCUUGUAUGGCCCAUAGAACUUUGAUCUGAGCUUCAACGAUCCCCUCAGCCCAAAAGUAUUUUGUCUGUAAGGUUGGAUUUUCAGAUACACAUUGUCUCCCACCUGGAAGGCUCUUUCAGUUCUAUUUUGGUUAGCAAAAUGUUUAAUUCUGCUUUGAGCAUGUUCCAGGUUUGCUUUCAGCCGCUGGAUCAUGUGCUCUCUUUCAGAUAUAGUGAGUGCUGCUUCAGGAGAGAGAGAUGCAUCCACUGCAAACUCACCAAUCUGUGGAGGUUUGUACCCAUAGAGUGCUUGAAAAGGAGUGCAUUUUAGUGAAGAAUGGUAGCUUGUGUUGUACCAGAGCUCAGCUAGAGGUAGCCACUUGAUCCACUUCUUAGGUUCUUGGAAAACCAUGCCUCGGAGGUAAGCUUCUAAGCACUGAUUCACUCGCUCCGUUUGCCCAUCUGUUUGUGGGUGAGAGGCUGUGCUGAACCUGAUCUUCACUCCAAAAGCUGCAAAUAAUUCCUGAUAUAAUUUGCUUGUAAAGAUGGUGUCCCUGUCAGAGAUGAUACAGAUAGGAAGACCAUGUAGCUUCACCACAUUAUCCACGAGUGCUUCAAAUACAAUCUGUACUGUAAAUGGAUGAGCUAGAGGAAUGAAAUGAGAAUACUUGGUGAAACGAUCGACCACCACCAGUAUGACCUCUUUCCCUUGUGAUUUGGGUAAGGCAGUGAUGAAAUCCAUGGUGAUAUGAGCCCAAGCCAUGUCUGGUACAGGUAGUGGUUGUAAUAGGCCAGGUGGAUGUAUAUGUUCCACUUUGUUCAGUUGACACACAGGGCAUUGUGACACAAACUGUUCUAUGUCCUUUCUCAUGUUUGGCCAGUAGAACACUCUUUUAAGUCUGUAGUAUGUAGCUUUAAUUCCAGAGUGGCCUCCUAGAGCAGAAGUAUGGAAUGUUUGUAACAAUUGGUGCCUGAAAUUGUUGCUAGCUCCUACAUAGAUUCUGUUGUUGUAUUUAAUGAGAUCAUUUUGAACAGCAAACUUGGGAGUUGGUCCUGUAUCAGCAGCUACCUUCUUUAACAAGUUUGCACUGUCCUGAUCUUGUUGGUAGCUCUUUUUAACAUCUUCAGUCCAUGUUGGGACUAGCACAGUCAUGCUGGAGCAACAAGAGCUGCUAGGAAAUCCUUUCCUGGACAAAGCAUCAGCUACUACAUUCUCUUUCCCUUUCUUGUAUUCUAUGGUAUAAUCAUAUUCCAACAGUUUUAGUAGCAGCUUGUGUUGGACUCCUUCUGUCAACCUUUGAGUUGUCAUGUACUUAAGAGAGUGUUGGUCUGUCUUAAUUAUUAAGGAAUUUCCCCAGAUAUAAUGCCUCCACUUUUUGAGAGCUUCCAAUAUAGCCAUAGCUUCUUUUUCAUAAAUAGAUUGAGCAGCAGAUUUGGGUCCUAAACUUCUGCUGAGAAAAGCAAGUGGCCUUCCUUUCUGCAUGAGUACUGCUCCAAGCCCUGUUGCACAUGCAUCAGCUUCAAUGGUGAAGGGCAGAGAAAAAUCUGGCAUUGCUAAAACUGGGCAGCUUGUCAUUGUCUGUUUCAACAGCUGAAAGGCUUGCUUUUGUGUAGUACCCCACUGAAAUGCAUCUUUCUUCAGCAUAUCAUGUAGUGGUCUGCAGAUUUGCCCAUAGUUCUUUACAAACCUUCUGUAAUACCCAGUUAAGCCCAAAAAUCCUCUUAGUUGGGACACAUUUUCAGGUUCCUCCCAGUCCAAAACUGCUUGGAUUUUUCCAGGGUCUGUUGCUACUCCUUCAGCUGAAAUGAUGUGUCCUAGAUAUGCUACUUGAUCAGUAGCAAAAGUACAUUUUGACAGCUUGGCAUAUAACUGAUGUUUUCUUAGUGCUGUAAGAGUCUUUUCGACAUGUCUGAUGUGGUCUUCCCUUGAUUUACUGAAAAUCAACAUAUCAUCAAAGAAGACCAAUAGAAACUUGGGUUUUUCUGUUUCAUUAACUUCCUCAGCUACUUUGUUCAUGAGUCCCUGAAAUGUGCCUGGGCCACAUGAUAACCCAAAAGGAACUACUGUAUACUCAUAGUGGCCCAUGUGAGUUCUAAACGCUGUUUUGUGGAUAUCUUCAGGAGCCAUUCGAAUUUGAUGGUACCCUGAUCUCAGAUCUAGUUUGGAGAAUAUUCUUGCUCCAUGCAUUUCAUCCAACAAAUCUUCAAUUAUUGGCAUUGGAAACUUGUUCUUAACAGUCACAGCAUUUAGUUCUCUGUAAUCCACACAUAAUCUCCAACCCCCAUCUUUCUUUCUGACCAUGAUAGCUGGAGAGGAAAAAGGACUGAAACUUUCUUGGAUUUCUCCUUUUUUAAUGAGCUGCUUUAUAAUCUCCUCCAUAGCAGCUUUCUGGUAAUGUGGAACUCUGUAGGGUCUUAGGUUUGGAGGUUUUGCUCCUUCUUGCAGAAUGAUUCUGUGAUCACAAUCCCUUUUUGGGGGCAGUUUUUGUGAUUCUUCAAACACAUCUGCAAAAGUAUGUAACAAAGGUUGUAGUGCUCUGGGAGGAGGUUGAGGAUUUUUGUUUUGUUCUGUCUCAAUCUCCUGUACUUGUAGGAUAUAUCCCAUUACUCCCUUUUGUAAUAACUUCUCCAUUUUUGCUGCUGAUACAAUACACUUCUUCUUGGGAAUUGUAUAGUCAAACAAGGUCACUGGCUGUCCUUGUUUGGUUACAAUUAAAAUCCUUUCCACCAAGUUCAAACAGAUUGGACUAUAUUGAUAUAUCCAAUCUGCUCCUAUGAUAAUGUCAUAAGAAGCAAGGUCUAACACUUUGAAACUACUGCUGAAGGUGUGGCCCUGAAUUUUAAAACUUAACUCUGGCACUUUGGAUAGUGACAACAGUUGCCCUCCUCCUGCUACAGUCACUUUCCUUGGUUGCAUUGGUUGCUGGUAACAAUUGCCUUUAAUUGCAAACUCUUUGCUCAUAAAGGUAUCUGAAGAGCCACUGUCAAACAAUGCUGUAGCUUUCUUUCCAGCAAUUUCCACAAUGAGAGAAAAAGUAUUUGGUCCUGUAGUCCCCUCUGCAGCAUUUCCAGAGAUAUGCAUAGCUUGUGAAGCUUUUGGUAUGCUGCUCUCAGGAUUUUUCUCUUUAUCUGGUGUGUUUGGGGCUGUAUGAUAAGCUUGUUCAGUAACCUGUACCUCUUCAGUGUCAUCACUAUCAGCUUCAUCAUCUACUUCUUGUAGUAUGUGCAGAGUUUUCCCAAUUUUGCAUUUAUGCUGUCUUGACCAAGGUUCUCUACAGUACCAACAUGCUCUUGCAUCUUUAGGAAAAGGUACUGAGUACUUUUCCUGAUUAGGAACUUGCACUUGUAGUGGAGGGUUUGGCUGUCUGGCAUUGUUUGAAUAUGAUCUUGAUUUAUAUCCUGAAUAAGAAGACACUUUUCUUGCUGCUGCAGCUUUCUCAUACACUUUGGCAUACCAAUAAGCUUCAAUAAUGCCUGUUGGUUUUUGUCCACAAACCUCGUGUUUGAUGUCAGCUUUUAAUCCUCCAAUAAAACAGCUGAGUAAAAAAAAUUCCUGCAAACAAGGGUGAUCUCUCUUAACCAGUGCCACACAGUGCUCAAAUUCAUCUAUAUACUGAGCAACUGUUGUGUGUUGUUGUAUAUUCUUGAGGAGUUCCACUGCUUCAUGCACACUUGCUUCAGAGAACCUGUCAGCUAUCAUCUGGCAAAAUUGUUGCCAUGUGAUCAUCUGCCAUGGAACACAAAUGUUCUUUAACCAGUUGGAUGCUCUCCCUUGCAAAUGACCUGUAGCCAAAUUGACCCACUGAUCAUAGGGAGUGCCAGACAUGUCGUAGAACUUUUCACAAGCAAUUAACCAUCCAAUUGGAUCUUCCCCACUAAACAGUGGUGUUUCCAACCUAGGUCCUUUUAACACAGCUUCAGCAAAAUAAGAAGGUCCUCCCAGCUGAGUGGCAUGCUGAUUUCUCUGAGCAUCAUAUAAGUUGCCCACUGCUUGGUAUACUGGUGGUUGAGAGCACCCAGAAGUUGACAUGUUGAUGUACUGUCCUGUGAUAGGAUUGUAUGUUGGAAUUGGGUUGUACAGUGGGGCAUUUAUGGGAGCAAAAUAUCCACUAUUACCAGAAUAUCCCAAGGUAUGUGCCUGAACUGCUACGCUUGUACUUUCUGGAGUUUAACCUGAAUUGUUGCUGUCCCUGUACUUCCUGUUGUUUCUCUGUGUGUACUCUUGUGCUCUCUGUGAACAGUUUUGUGUGAGGUAUACCAGCUGCUACUUCUGAUAGUUUGCUCAUUGGAACACUUGCUUUGCUGUUGAAUUCGUGAUGCAAGUUUCUGUUCACUGGCUGUUGAUCCUCACUUGCUGUAUCUGAUAUAGGGAUGACAGGAGAUAUACUGGCCCUCGCUGUCCCUGUACACACUGGUGGUGGAACAGUUGGUACACUACCUCUGUUUUCUGAAUUCCCAAAGACAGUUUCUGAAGAAUUUGCUGUAGUGUUUGCUGAAUCUCUGAAUUCAUAUCAGACAGCUUGGCCUCCACUUUAGGCAUUGUCACCAUCUCUGCCCGCAACUGGUUUACUUCCUGUCGAAGAUCUUGGAGUCCUGCUAUGUCAGCCCGCAGAUCGGCCACUUCUUUCUCCACUCUGUCAACGGUGAUCUGCACCUUCGCUCUUGUGUCUGCCAUGGUUUUGACCUGUUACCGACGCCUGCCGAUUCGAAUCACCUCCUGCGACUCCUUGACGCACGGAUCCCUGCAGAGACCGGAAUUUUACCACCAGGAGAAUUUCUCCUAGCAACCGUCUCGGACUCAAGGAUCUGCGCCCGAAUUUCACCGCCGCUGCGUCGCCGCCACCGGAACACACCGCCGCCGCGAACAGGGAGGGACGGGAGGGAUUUUACGAGAGAUCCCAACCUCCUGCUCUCCGCUGCUCGAAUCGCCGCCGUCCUCCUUCGCCGAGGACAAACCUGUUGCUCUGGAUACCUUUGUAAGAACCAAAAUAAGGGAAAUUGAUCGAUCUACUCUUUCUUCACUCACAGAGACAAAAUCAUGAAUAUUUGGUACAAGUUCGAGGUAGAUCGGAGGUAAGAUACCCCGACUUAGCAGUACAGAGUCUAGGGUUCUAAGCUAAGCUAUGAAUUGGGGAAAAUAUCGACUUAUCCGAGGCUUCUCGAGCUACAGGUUAUAAGGACGGAGAGCCAGCUCAGCGGCUGUUACUGUUGUAACGGUUACAAAACAGUGGUUGCGUUUAGUCUGGUAGGAGCCGCGAGGAUUCAUCCGAGC
Molecule: long non-coding RNA, 6168 nt
Filed under: Triticum aestivum (bread wheat)
Lineage: Eukaryota; Viridiplantae; Streptophyta; Magnoliopsida; Poales; Poaceae
Description: long non-coding RNA (TAES_LNC016955)
Source: RNAcentral